CACAUGGCUUUAUUUCAUGACUUCUCAUAGUGAGGUGUUGUCCAUUUAUAAGCGUUUUGCUGCCAUGGUUCAUACUCAGUUCUCUUCUCCCAUUCGUGUGUUUCGUGCUGAUUUCGCUAGCGAGUAUAUCUCUAGGAUGUUAGACCUUUCAGCCUGAGCAUUGAUAGUUGUGGAUGACACUAGGAGAGUUGGGACAAUUUUCGUUGGUUUAUUUCUCACACAAUGCCAUGCCAACCUGAGGGGUUGGGGAUACAUA
RNAcentral lists this long non-coding RNA (256 nucleotides) under Hordeum vulgare. RNAcentral's name for it is "long non-coding RNA (HVUL_LNC012144)". The record is from RNAcentral. Lineage: Eukaryota; Viridiplantae; Streptophyta; Magnoliopsida; Poales; Poaceae.